Molecule: ribosomal RNA, 450 nt
Filed under: uncultured bacterium
Lineage: Bacteria
Description: bacterial SSU rRNA
Rfam family: Bacterial small subunit ribosomal RNA
Source: RNAcentral
GUGGGGAAUCUUGCGCAAUGCGCGAAAGCGUGACGCAGCAACGCCGCGUGGGGGAAGAAGGCCUUCGGGUUGUAAACCCCUUUCAGGAGGGACGAAGGUCGGGCGGUUAAUAGCCGACCCGACUGACGGUACCUCCACAAGAAGCCCCGGCUAACUACGUGCCAGCAGCCGCGGUAAUACGUAGGGGGCAAGCGUUGUCCGGAAUUAUUGGGCGUAAAGAGCGUGUAGGCGGUCCGGUAAGUCGGCUGUGAAAGUCCAGGGCUCAACCCUGGGAUGCCGGUCGAUACUGCCGGACUAGAGUUCGGAAGAGGCGAGUGGAAUUCCCGGUGUAGCGGUGAAAUGCGCAGAUAUCGGGAGGAACACCUAUGGCGAAGGCAGCUCGCUGGGACGUUACUGACGCUGAGACGCGAAAGCGUGGGGAGCAAACAGGAUUAGAAACCCUGGUAGUCC